Molecule: non-coding RNA, 210 nt
Filed under: Wenyingzhuangia fucanilytica
Lineage: Bacteria; Pseudomonadati; Bacteroidota; Flavobacteriia; Flavobacteriales; Flavobacteriaceae
Source: RNAcentral
GUUUUGCUCCAGAUUUUUGGUUGUACUUGUUAUAUAAAGCAAGUACAUUAAAAGGGAAUCAGGUGUAAGUCCUGAACAGUUCCCGCUGCUGUAAGUUUCUCUGUGUAAUAACAGAAAAAUCUUUUUAACAAUACCACUGUCUAUAAUAUAGAUGGGAAGGGUUAAAUAAGUGAAAUGAGUCAGAAUACCUGCCAAUAAUUAUUAAAGACA